UACGAGCGCCCCAAGCGUUAUCCGGAAUCAUUGGGCGUAAAGGGUGUGUAGGCGGCAUAGUUAGUCUUGCGUUAAAGCCUCGGGCUCAACCCGAGAAUCGCGCAGGAAACGGCUAAGCUGGAGAGUGUGAGAGGUCUGCGGAACGCAUGGUGUAGGGGUGAAAUCCGUUGAUAUCAUGCGGAACACCGAAAGCGAAGGCAGCAGACUGGCGCAUUUCUGACGCUGAAACACGAAAGCCAGGGUAGCGAAUGGG
RNAcentral lists this ribosomal RNA (253 nucleotides) under uncultured bacterium. RNAcentral describes it as "partial 16S ribosomal RNA". It matches the Rfam family "Bacterial small subunit ribosomal RNA", at positions 524 to 776 of the family's 1533-position model. The record is from RNAcentral.